UGGGGAAUAUUGCACAAUGGGCGCAAGCCUGAUGCAGCCAUGCCGCGUGUAUGAAGAAGGCCUUCGGGUUGUAAAGUACUUUCAGCGGGGAGGAAGGGAGUAAAGUUAAUACCUUUGCUCAUUGACGUUACCCGCAGAAGAAGCACCGGCUAACUCCGUGCCAGCAGCCGCGGUAAUACGGAGGGUGCAAGCGUUAAUCGGAAUUACUGGGCGUAAAGCGCACGCAGGCGGUUUGUUAAGUCAGAUGUGAAAUCCCCGGGCUCAACCUGGGAACUGCAUCUGAUACUGGCAAGCUUGAGUCUCGUAGAGGGGGGUAGAAUUCCAGGUGUAGCGGUGAAAUGCGUAGAGAUCUGGAGGAAUACCAGUGGCGGAGGCGGCCCCCUGGACAAAGACUGACGCUCAGGUGCGAAAGCGUGGGGAGCAAACAGG
RNAcentral lists this ribosomal RNA (429 nucleotides) under Chloroflexota bacterium. Its description in RNAcentral is "Chloroflexi bacterium partial 16S ribosomal RNA". It matches the Rfam family "Bacterial small subunit ribosomal RNA", at positions 355 to 776 of the family's 1533-position model. The record is from RNAcentral. Lineage: Bacteria; Bacillati; Chloroflexota.